Molecule: ribosomal RNA, 1433 nt
Filed under: Lactiplantibacillus plantarum
Lineage: Bacteria; Bacillati; Bacillota; Bacilli; Lactobacillales; Lactobacillaceae
Description: bacterial SSU rRNA
Rfam family: Bacterial small subunit ribosomal RNA
Source: RNAcentral
GUCGAACGAACUCUGGUAUUGAUUGGUGCUUGCAUCAUGAUUUACAUUUGAGUGAGUGGCGAACUGGUGAGUAACACGUGGGAAACCUGCCCAGAAGCGGGGGAUAACACCUGGAAACAGAUGCUAAUACCGCAUAACAACUUGGACCGCAUGGUCCGAGUUUGAAAGAUGGCUUCGGCUAUCACUUUUGGAUGGUCCCGCGGCGUAUUAGCUAGAUGGUGGGGUAACGGCUCACCAUGGCAAUGAUACGUAGCCGACCUGAGAGGGUAAUCGGCCACAUUGGGACUGAGACACGGCCCAAACUCCUACGGGAGGCAGCAGUAGGGAAUCUUCCACAAUGGACGAAAGUCUGAUGGAGCAACGCCGCGUGAGUGAAGAAGGGUUUCGGCUCGUAAAACUCUGUUGUUAAAGAAGAACAUAUCUGAGAGUAACUGUUCAGGUAUUGACGGUAUUUAACCAGAAAGCCACGGCUAACUACGUGCCAGCAGCCGCGGUAAUACGUAGGUGGCAAGCGUUGUCCGGAUUUAUUGGGCGUAAAGCGAGCGCAGGCGGUUUUUUAAGUCUGAUGUGAAAGCCUUCGGCUCAACCGAAGAAGUGCAUCGGAAACUGGGAAACUUGAGUGCAGAAGAGGACAGUGGAACUCCAUGUGUAGCGGUGAAAAUGCGUAGAUAUAUGGAAGAACACCAGUGGCGAAGGCGGCUGUCUGGUCUGUAACUGACGCUGAGGCUCGAAAGUAUGGGUAGCAAACAGGAUUAGAUACCCUGGUAGUCCAUACCGUAAACGAUGAAUGCUAAGUGUUGGAGGGUUUCCGCCCUUCAGUGCUGCAGCUAACGCAUUAAGCAUUCCGCCUGGGGAGUACGGCCGCAAGGCUGAAACUCAAAGGAAUUGACGGGGGCCCGCACAAGCGGUGGAGCAUGUGGUUUAAUUCGAAGCUACGCGAAGAACCUUACCAGGUCUUGACAUACUAUGCAAAUCUAAGAGAUUAGACGUUCCCUUCGGGGACAUGGAUACAGGUGGUGCAUGGUUGUCGUCAGCUCGUGUCGUGAGAUGUUGGGUUAAGUCCCGCAACGAGCGCAACCCUUAUUAUCAGUUGCCAGCAUUAAGUUGGGCACUCUGGUGAGACUGCCGGUGACAAACCGGAGGAAGGUGGGGAUGACGUCAAAUCAUCAUGCCCCUUAUGACCUGGGCUACACACGUGCUACAAUGGAUGGUACAACGAGUUGCGAACUCGCGAGAGUAAGCUAAUCUCUUAAAGCCAUUCUCAGUUCGGAUUGUAGGCUGCAACUCGCCUACAUGAAGUCGGAAUCGCUAGUAAUCGCGGAUCAGCAUGCCGCGGUGAAUACGUUCCCGGGCCUUGUACACACCGCCCGUCACACCAUGAGAGUUUGUAACACCCAAAGUCGGUGGGGUAACCUUUUAGGAACCAGCCGCCU